RNAcentral lists this long non-coding RNA (738 nucleotides) under Salmo salar (Atlantic salmon). RNAcentral describes it as "lncRNA (ENSSSAG00000121654.1)". The record is from RNAcentral. Lineage: Eukaryota; Metazoa; Chordata; Actinopteri; Salmoniformes; Salmonidae.
AUGUAUAACACUUGUAUAUUUUAUGUUUAUUAUGAGUAUUUCUGUAUUUUGAAUUUGGCGCUCUGCAAUUUCACCGGAUAUUGGCCAGGUGGGACGGUACCCUAGAGAGGUUAACCGACCCUCUCUGCCCAUUCAUUCAUGUUUAUCUGUUGGCCCCAGCCCUGAACUCAGGCCCUGUGUGUAGUUAACCGACCCUCUCUGCCCAUUCAUCACCAUUUUACCUGUUGUUGUUGUCUUAUCUGAUUAGCUGUUGUUGUCUUACCCGUUGUUGUCUUAGCUAGCUCUCCCAAUCAACACCUGUGAUUGCUUUACGCCUCGCUUUAUGUCUCUCUCUAAUGUCAAUAUGCCUUGUAUACUGUUGUUUAGGGUAGUUAUCACUGUUUUAGUUUACCUAGUCCGACGGUACAUGCCUCAGAUACCUCUUUUGUCCCACCUCCCACACAUGCGGUGACCUCACCCACUUUAACUAGUGCGUCCAGAGAUGCAACCUCUCUUAUCAUCACUCAGUGCCUGGGUUUACCUCCACUGUACCCGCACCCCACCAUACCCCUGUCUGCACAUUAUGCCCUGAAUCUAUUCUACCACGCCCAGAAAUCUGCUCCUUUUAUUCUCUGUUCCCAAAGCACCAGACGACCAGUUCUUAUAGCCUUUAGCCGUACCCUCAUCCUCCUCCUCCUCUGUUCCUCUGGUGAUGUAGAGGUUAACCCAGGCCCUGCGUGUCCCCAGGCAUCCUCAUUU